RNAcentral lists this unclassified non-coding RNA (244 nucleotides) under Hevea brasiliensis (rubber tree). Lineage: Eukaryota; Viridiplantae; Streptophyta; Magnoliopsida; Malpighiales; Euphorbiaceae. The record is from RNAcentral.
GGCUUCUUCAGUCUCAAAUUUGGACAACUUUACAAAUGCUAAUCCCAGUUCUCCCAUUGUCUCUCCAAUGUCUUGCUGAGCUUUCACAAGUGAUUCAGCCUGUUGAGAGACAUCGCUAAGUUGCUGUUCAAUGUCCAUUAAUUUCCCUUUCUUCUCCAAAAACUCCUUGUCUUCUUCCACCACCAUCGGCUUUGCCCCAACCCAAUCGUUUGCCAUUGAUUGCUUCAACUCCUUGAAGAUUCUC